RNAcentral lists this ribosomal RNA (634 nucleotides) under uncultured bacterium. RNAcentral's name for it is "bacterial SSU rRNA". It matches the Rfam family "Bacterial small subunit ribosomal RNA", at positions 8 to 607 of the family's 1533-position model. The record is from RNAcentral.
AGAGUUUGAUCAUGGCUCAGGACGAACGCUGGCGGCGUGCCUAAUACAUGCAAGUCGAACGAACUCUGGUAUUGAUUGGUGCUUGCAUCAUGAUUUACAUUUGAGUGAGUGGCGAACUGGUGAGUAACACGUGGGAAACCUGCCCAGAAGCGGGGGAUAACACCUGGAAACAGAUGCUAAUACCGCAUAACAACUUGGACCGCAUGGUCCAAGUUUGAAAGAUGGCUUCGGCUAUCACUUUUGGAUGGUCCCGCGGCGUAUUAGCUAGAUGGUGGGGUAACGGCUCACCAUGGCAAUGAUACGUAGCCGACCCGAGAGGGUAAUCGGCCACAUUGGGACUGAGACACGGCCCAAACUCCUACGGGAGGCAGCAGUAGGGAAUCUUCCACAAUGGACGAAAGUCUGAUGGAGCAACGCCGCGUGAGUGAAGAAGGGUUUCGGCUCGUAAAACUCUGUUGUUAAAGAAGAACAUAUCUGAGAGUAACUGUUCAGGUAUUGACGGUAUUUAACCAGAAAGCCACGGCUAACUACGUGCCAGCAGCCGCGGUAAUACGUAGGUGGCAAGCGUUGUCCGGAUUUAUUGGGCGUAAAGCGAGCGCAGGCGGUUUUUUAAGUCUGAUGUGAAAGCCUUCGG